ACGUUCGAAUAUCGCUGCACCUCGCUCAUUUUCUCUACCUUUCCUUUACUUGCUUCCAGUGGUCUUGCUCCAGCGAGCUUAUGUGCCUCCCUCUCCCACUUCACAACGAACGCUUCGUCCACCAUUGUACACAUGCCUUUCGUUUCGUGGUUGACUUAAUUUAGUGUGCCCAAUUUUGUUCAAUUAUUUGCAUAGGAAGCGAUAACAGUUUAGUACAAAUGUAAAUAACUUGAUGGGUAAGGACCGUAGGAAAGUUACGCAACCCGUAGGAGCUCAAUUCAAAGAGGCACACGCAAAAAUCUGCGCGAGAAAAAGACCCGGAUGAACAAAAUGAUUGAUCUUUAAGCAUUACAUUAACAAGGCGUGCUAUUUUGCAUCUUGCCGAUCAUCAUUUUACCUCUAAUCCGUCAUGCUGUAGCGGACAAUCACUUAAGACAGAUUUUAGUGCACCAGUUUUGUAGAAGAAUGGGAAUGACUACAAACAUCGGUAUAUUCACAUGCCAUCAUGCAGCUGAAUGCAUAUCGACGGAAAAUUGAAUACAUCGAAUGUAAAAUUCAGUAAAAAAAAAGUAGUAUACGAGCCAAUAUGCUCCGUAGACUGUGCACUGCUGAGCACGUAGGAAAGGUGAGGGUGCCAAACAUUAUCCAUGGCGCUCUGUCUACGAUUUAUAACAGACGCAGCUCCACCUGAUCCAGCCCUCGAGCACGCUGUGCGAUGCUGCGCAUAGUACCGUACAGCAUGUCGUAUCAUUAAUCACCCUUUUGACAACGCAUGUGUCCGCUUUUUUGCCAUUUUAUUUUUUCCACCAACACAAUCGCACACCAUCGCGAGCUUUUUGGCAGCCAUCUUGAACCCUCAAAAAGACUUACAAAAACGCUCGCCAGCGAGGGAAAAUCGCACUGAUUUGGUGCGUUGGCGAACUUGUAAAAACCGGUUUUUGGUCUGCGGGUUCCGCGUUUAUACUUCCAGCGCCAACAGUUACUCCACAGCCAACGAUAUGCCCAAGCAAUGCCAUGUCAUUGUUUGGACCUUUGAAAAAUGAAUACGAAUUAAAACCGUUAGAUUGGUAUGUUAUUUCAUUUCUCAUAACGGGCCUUCUGGAGUAACUUAGGAAUUAAGUUUUAGGUGCCUGCCGUAGAUGUUGUGAAUUACAGAGUUGUGCUCGAGAAAUUGUGUACGUAAAAAAUACAUUGGGUUGUAUCUUAACUUUUGCUUUUUUUAUAACUUAGUCAACGCGAUACAGUAGAAAAUUGAACAAUUAUCGACACUUAUCAAUACACGUUAAAAUACUAGGACGCACCAGCUGAACCGAGCGCCCCUACCGAGAGCUCCUGCUCGAUCGGCCUUCAUGCACACUUCAUUCAGUGGUCGGCACACCUGUCCACACCAGGAUCGGUAUGGGUUCAGUAUCGGUUCCA
Anopheles arabiensis is the source of this 1419-nucleotide long non-coding RNA. RefSeq lists it as uncharacterized. The record is from RefSeq and is a predicted model, not a curated record. The transcript is spliced from 3 exons. NCBI's taxonomy places the organism in Eukaryota, Metazoa, Arthropoda, Insecta, Diptera, Culicidae.